This 331-nucleotide long non-coding RNA is filed under the name Capsicum annuum. RNAcentral's name for it is "long non-coding RNA (CANN_LNC009943)". Lineage: Eukaryota; Viridiplantae; Streptophyta; Magnoliopsida; Solanales; Solanaceae. The record is from RNAcentral.
CUACUCUUGGAAAGAACCCAUCCUCGAACUUGGAACCCAAUUCAUUUUCAACGCUUUAGCUAAUCCCACUUUGAUGACUUUCCUUACCCAUAGUACUUGGGCACAACACCUCUCCAUGAAAUGGUUUGGUUUAUGCGUGCUGCUCACACACCUGAUGGCUUUACCUCCACCUGACUUUAACGCCCAUCUUCCCAUAAAGAAGCCUGCACUCAGGUCCUUCUUUACGUUGUCGCAGCCUAAUGAUCCGCUUGGUGCUAGCCUAGUUCUUGCCUUGCAUAGCACUCUCUCCAACUGCAAGCUCUGCUUUCCCAUGCCGUAGGCUUCACUGCCC